Long non-coding RNA from Amphimedon queenslandica, 494 nucleotides. RefSeq lists it as uncharacterized. The record is from RefSeq and is a predicted model, not a curated record. Lineage: Eukaryota; Metazoa; Porifera; Demospongiae; Haplosclerida; Niphatidae. The transcript has 2 exons.
UGCAAUGUCUAAAAGCCUGGACUAGCUUCACUAUGUCCUUUGUGAACAAGCCUGCUAAAAAGGAACAACAGUUUACAAAGUGAACCUAGUCAGUUUCUUGCUGAGAGUUGAUGAUCAUGAGUCUCAGUCUACUCUUGUGGUUGAUACAGCUACAGUUUUUUACAGCUACAGUUGAUGUACAGUCAAUUGUUGCUCAUUCUCCAUCACCCUAUUCUUCUACUUCCUCUACUAAUACUACUACUAGUACUAUUACCACUACAGAAGUCAGUGUUGGAGCUACACCACCCACUACUUUAUUACAAUAACCUUCGCUACCAAAAAAUUGUGCUAAAAAGCAUAGAUACUAUAUACCCCUGGAUACGAAACUCCUCUAUGCACACAUAUAAAAUCCCAUAAGGAAACGUCAUAAACGUCACAUCCGGCUGUCCUCACCCUUGUUUCGCUGCAUUCAUGGCUGCCAGGGUAAGUAAAACAAUCACAGUAGCCUAUUCGUU